CCCUACGGGGCGCAGCAGGCGCGAAAACUUUACAAUGCGGGAAACCGUGAUAAGGGAACUCCGAGUGUCCGUAAAUUCGGACUGUCCGUAUGUUUAAAAAGCAUGCGAAGAAAGGGCCGGGCAAGACCGGUGCCAGCCGCCGCGGUAAUACCGGCGGCUCGAGUGGUGGCCACUAUUACUUACCGCGGC
Molecule: ribosomal RNA, 189 nt
Filed under: uncultured Methanomicrobiaceae archaeon
Lineage: Archaea; Methanobacteriati; Methanobacteriota; Methanomicrobia; Methanomicrobiales; Methanomicrobiaceae
Description: partial 16S ribosomal RNA
Rfam family: Archaeal small subunit ribosomal RNA
Source: RNAcentral